CCCUUAGAUGUUCUGGGCGGCCCGCGCACUACAAUGGCGUGUGCAGCGAGUGCCGAAGUAGAGUUUUCCGAGGUAUUCUUGCAAUGCUCGUUUUGAUGGGGAUAGACCCUUGCAACUGUUGGUUUUGAACGAGGAAUUCCUUGUAAGCAUGGUUUAUCAUCCGACGCUGAAUGCGUCCCUGCCCUUUGUACACACCGCCCGUCGCUCCUACCGGUGAGUCGUCCGGUGAAGUUCGUAGACCUCGUGAUCGCGGAUCACUGGGGGAAGCAAAAUGAACCUCGCGGUUUAGAGGAAGGAGAAGUCGUAACA
RNAcentral lists this ribosomal RNA (309 nucleotides) under uncultured eukaryote. Its description in RNAcentral is "partial 18S ribosomal RNA". It matches the Rfam family "Eukaryotic small subunit ribosomal RNA", at positions 1470 to 1796 of the family's 1831-position model. The record is from RNAcentral.